RNAcentral lists this unclassified non-coding RNA (334 nucleotides) under soil metagenome. RNAcentral's name for it is "partial contains 5.8S ribosomal RNA, internal transcribed spacer 2, and large subunit ribosomal RNA". The stretch from base 1 to 120 matches the Rfam family "5.8S ribosomal RNA", at positions 35 to 154 of the family's 154-position model. The record is from RNAcentral.
GAUGAAGAACGUAGCGAAAUGCGAUAAGUAAUGUGAAUUGCAGAAUUCAGUGAAUCAUCGAAUCUUUGAACGCACAUUGCGCCCGCUAGUAUUCUGGCGGGCAUGCCUGUUCGAGCGUCAUUUCAACCAUCAAGCCCUUUAGCUUGUGUUGGGGACCUGCGGCUGCCGCAGCCCCCGAAAUGCAGUGGCGGGCUCGUUGUCACACCGAGUGCAGUAAUCAUUCUUCUCUCCGGGCGUGGCGGCGGGUUCCGGCCGUAAAAUCACCAAUUUAUCAAGGUUGACCUCGGAUCAGGUAGGAAUACCCGCUGAACUUAAGCAUAUCAAAAGCGGAGGA